AGCCUGAAGAGGAGUCGCCCCAGCCCCGCACCCCCCCUAGGGAGCUCCGGGCCCUGGGCCUGUUUCGGGAGCCCCCUGGCAGUCAAGAGGACGAGGAGGAGCCGGGACUGGUGGAGGGUGACCCGGGGGACGGCGCCAUUGAGGACCCGGAGCUGGAAACUAUCAAAGCUCGAGCCAGGGAGAUGGAGGAAGAAGCUGAGAAGCUGAAGGAACUACAGAACGGGGUAGAGAAGCAGAUGAACUGAGUCCGCCUCCAGGCAGUGCGGGCCCGGGGAUCAUGUCCAUUGAGGAGAAGCUGCAGGCUGACGCCCGUCCCGUCUAUGUUGGCAGUGUGGACUAUGGUGCAACAGCAGAAGAGCUGGAAGCUCACUUCCGUGGCUGUGGUUCAGUCAACCGUGUGACCAUACUCUGUGACAAAUUUAGUGGCCAUCCCAAAGGCUUUGCAUAUAUAGAGUUCUCAGACAAAGAGUCAGUGAGGACUUCCUUGGCCUUAGAUGAGUCCCUAUGUAGAGGACGGCAAAUCAAGGUGAUCCCAAAACGGACCAACAGAUCAGGCAUCAGCACAACAGACGGAGGUCUUCCACGAGCCCCUGCCGCGCGGACCACCCACCGCAACAGCUCCCGCUCUGCAUUCUACAGUGGUUUUAACAGCAGGCCCGGGGGCGUGUCUACAGGGGCCGGCCUAGAGCGACAUCAUGGCAUUCCCCUUACUAAAAAAAGUGUGUAUUAGGAGGAGAGAGA
Cebus imitator (Panamanian white-faced capuchin) is the source of this 741-nucleotide RNA transcript. It is a transcript of the gene named polyadenylate-binding protein 2-like, with no coding region annotated. The record is from RefSeq and is a predicted model, not a curated record. Lineage: Eukaryota; Metazoa; Chordata; Mammalia; Primates; Cebidae. The transcript has a single exon.